AUACUGUAUAAUCCCUGCGGGGGAAAGAUUUAUCGCUAUUAGAUGAGCCUACGUUAGAUUAGCUAGUUGGUAAGGUAAUGGCUUACCAAGGCUAUGAUCUAUAGCUGGUCUGAGAGGACGAUCAGCCACACUGGAACUGAGAUACGGUCCAGACUCCUACGGGAGGCAGCAGUGGGGAAUAUUGGACAAUGGGCGAAAGCCUGAUCCAGCUAUGCCGCGUGAGUGAAGAAGGCCUUCGGGUUGUAAAGCUCUUUCAAUAGGGAAGAUAAUGACGGUACCUAUAGAAGAAGUCCCGGCAAACUCCGUGCCAGCAGCCGCGGUAAUACGGAGGGGGCAAGCGUUGUUCGGAAUUAUUGGGCGUAAAGGGCACGUAGGUGGACUAGUAAGUUAAAAGUGAAAUACCAAAGCUUAACUUUGGAGCUGCUUUUAAUACUGCUAGACUAGAGGUCGAAAGAGGAUAGCGGAAUUCCUAGUGUAGAGGUGAAAUUCGUAGAUAUUAGGAGGAACACCAGUGGCGAAGGCGGCUAUCUGGUUCGAUACUGACACUGAGGUGCGAAAGCGUGGGGAGCAAACAGGAUUAGAUACCCUGGUAGUCCACGCUGUAAACGAUGAGUGCUAAAUGUGAGGAUUUUAUCUUUGUAUUGUAGCUAACGCGUUAAGCACUCCGCCUGGGGACUACGGUCGCAAGACUAAAACUCAAAGGAAUUGACGGGGACCCGCACAAGCGGUGGAGCAUGUGGUUUAAUUCGAUGCUACGCGAAAAACCUUACCACUUUUUGACAUGAAGGUCGUAUCCCUCCUAACAGGGGGAGUCAGUUCGGCUGGACCUUACACAGGUGCUGCAUGGGUUGUCGUCAGCUCGUGUCGUGAGAUGUUGGGUUAAGUCCCGCAACGAGCGCAACCCUCAUCCUUAGUUACCAACAGGUAAUGCUGGGCACUCUAAGGAAACUGCCAGUGAUAAACUGGAGGAAGGUGGGGAUGAUGUCAAAUCAGCACGGCCCUUAUAAGGUGGGCUACACACGUGCUACAAUGGCAACUACAAUAGGUUGCGAGACCGCAAGGUUUAGCUAAUCCAUAAAAGUUGUCUCAGUUCGGAUUGUUCUCUGCAACUCGAGAGCAUGAAGUCGGAAUCGCUAGUAAUCGUGGAUCAUCACGCCACGGUGAAUACGUUCUCGGGUCUUGUACACACUGCCCGUCACGCCAUGGGAAUUGGCUUAACUCGAAGCUGGUGUGCUAACCGCAAGGAAGCA
This 1250-nucleotide ribosomal RNA is filed under the name uncultured Ehrlichia sp. Its description in RNAcentral is "bacterial SSU rRNA". It matches the Rfam family "Bacterial small subunit ribosomal RNA", at positions 166 to 1451 of the family's 1533-position model. The record is from RNAcentral. Lineage: Bacteria; Pseudomonadati; Pseudomonadota; Alphaproteobacteria; Rickettsiales; Anaplasmataceae.